Molecule: ribosomal RNA, 254 nt
Filed under: uncultured bacterium
Lineage: Bacteria
Description: partial 16S ribosomal RNA
Rfam family: Bacterial small subunit ribosomal RNA
Source: RNAcentral
UACGUAGGUGGCGAGCGUUAUCCGGAUUUAUUGGGUUUAAAGGGUGCGUAGGCGGCUGAUUAAGUCAGCGGUGAAAGGUAGCAGCUUAACUGUUUUACAUGCCGUUGAUACUGGUUAGCUUGAGUUAACAGAAGGCAGAUAGAAUUUCUGGUGUAGCGGUGAAAUGCUUAGAUACCAGGAGGAAUACCGAUUGCGAAGGCAGUCUGCUGCAGUUACACUGACGCUGAGGCACGAAAGUGCGGGGAUCAAACAGG